GCUUCUCUAGUAUAAACAAGUACAAUUGACUUCCAAUCAAUAAGUCCUGGUAGAGCCCAGAGAGAAACA
Molecule: transfer RNA, 69 nt
Filed under: Potos flavus (kinkajou)
Lineage: Eukaryota; Metazoa; Chordata; Mammalia; Carnivora; Procyonidae
Description: tRNA-Gly
Rfam family: tRNA
About the family: Transfer RNA (tRNA) molecules are approximately 80 nucleotides in length. Their secondary structure includes four short double-helical elements and three loops (D, anti-codon, and T loops).
Source: RNAcentral